AACUCUCUCUAAGGUACUUAGCAAAAUAACCUUGUAACUUGGGGAGAAGGGGUGCCUCCUCAAAAAGGGGUUCGCAAUGGCAAGGCCCAGGUGACUUUACCAAAAACUUAGGUCUCCGCAGAUUUGUAAGACCAUGUACAAGGUUGAUGCCUCCCCAAUGCCAGAAGGUCAGGGAAGUUGGUGAUUGAUGAUGGGGGAGCCGGCAACCGAAACCCCGGUUAAUGGCUACCAUAACUAUAAUGGUCUUAAGUUAGUGAAAUUCCUUGUCCUGUAAGUUUCCACCAGAAUACCUACUCAGCAUGCUGCCAAAGCAAAAGG
This 318-nucleotide non-coding RNA is filed under the name Amborella trichopoda. RNAcentral's name for it is "Bacterial large subunit ribosomal RNA". It matches the Rfam family "Bacterial large subunit ribosomal RNA", at positions 1697 to 2031 of the family's 2925-position model. Lineage: Eukaryota; Viridiplantae; Streptophyta; Magnoliopsida; Amborellales; Amborellaceae. The record is from Rfam by way of RNAcentral.